Sorghum bicolor (sorghum) is the source of this 108-nucleotide microRNA precursor. It matches the Rfam family "MIR5565 microRNA precursor family". Lineage: Eukaryota; Viridiplantae; Streptophyta; Magnoliopsida; Poales; Poaceae. The record is from Rfam.
UUAGUCGGAUUCGCAUCAAUUCACAUGCGUUGGUGUGGAUUGGAGUAGAACUUAAAUUAAAUUUCACCCCAAUCCACUCCAACGCAUAUGGAUUGAGUCUAUCCAAGG